Molecule: ribosomal RNA, 661 nt
Filed under: uncultured fungus
Lineage: Eukaryota; Fungi
Description: eukaryotic LSU rRNA
Rfam family: Eukaryotic large subunit ribosomal RNA
Source: RNAcentral
CCCGCUGAACUUAAGCAUAUCAAUAAGCGGAGGAAAAGAAACUAACAAGGAUUCCCCUAGUAACUGCGAGUGAAGCGGGAAGAGCUCAAAUUUGAAAUCUGGCAGCUCUCUGAACUGUCCGAGUUGUAAUCUAGAGAAGUGUUACCUGUGCUGGACCGUGUACAAGUCUCCUGGAAUGGAGCGUCACAGAGGGUGAGAAUCCCGUCUUUGACACGGACUGCCUGCAUGUUUAUGGUGCGCUCUCAAAGAGUCGAGCUGUUUGGGAAUGCAGCUCAAAAUGGGUGGUAAAUGCCAUCUAAAGCUAAAUAUUGGGGAGAGACCGAUAGCGAACAAGUACCGUGAGGGAAAGAUGAAAAGAACUUUGGAAAGAGAGUUAAACAGUACGUGAAAUUGCUGAAAGGGAAACGCUUGAAGUCAGUCGCGUCGCUCAGGACUCAGCCUUGCUUUUGCUUGGUGUACUUCCUGUUCGAUGGGUCAGCAUCAAUUUCGAUCGGUGGAUAAAGGCUUAGAGAAUGUGGCAUCUUCGGGUGUGUUAUAGCUCUUCGUCGCAUACAUCGGUUGGGAUUGAGGAACUCAGCACGCCGCAAGGCCGGGUACUUGUACUACGUUCGUGCUUAGGAUGCUGGCAUAAUGGCUUUAAUCGACCCGUCUUGAAACACGG